Molecule: long non-coding RNA, 4620 nt
Organism: Hylaeus volcanicus
Lineage: Eukaryota; Metazoa; Arthropoda; Insecta; Hymenoptera; Colletidae
Exons: 3
Source: RefSeq, a predicted model, not a curated record
ACUCGGACUCCCGACUAUUCGGUCUCUACCAGGCUCUCGUUAUCAUCGUCUUGGACGUUCUCGCGACGGUGGUGGUGGUCGUCGUCCUCGUCACCAUCCUCUUCCAAUUCGCAGAGUCCGUGUUCCCAGUUCAUCCGACACUGUUCCCGCGAUACCGAUCCGGUCCCCGUCUCACGGCACUCGCGCGACUAAUCACGAGAGACGAACACCCGUCGACGUAAACGCGGAAGCGCACCUUCAUACGCGCGACGAGGCUGUUAUCGGACGCGACUCGGCACGAACAAUCGCGGUGACGCUGGACCUAGACCAGACCCCGCCGAUACUCUUCCCACUUUCUCCCGUUUUCUUUCAAAGACCAGCACCGAUCGCCGCGUGCAUCGCUCCGGCAACGCGGGUUCCGCUCGACGCUGCGUCGAGGACGACACUGUGUGGAGCUAGCCGACAGUCGCCGCUCGAAUCUCGUCUCCUACGCGUCUCCUCGCGCGAAAAACGUGCGUGCUUCCUGAUUAACACCGACACAGGUCAGGAAGGUUUUUCGUGAGCCGCCGUGCCGGGCAAAAUGUACACCACCAGGGCCGUACGCGUCUAUCCUCGUUCGUCGUCUUCCCGAGGCGUGUAUCGACCCUCGCGAUCCGCUGUUCACUCGCGACCGGGUGACAGUCCUCUUCGCUCUCCGAUCUUCCUCCCCGAGCUUGAAUCCUUGACUCUUCCGGAUCCGGACUAACCUCGGGGUCACUUUGGAGAAAGAGGUUCGCCAGCGUAGCAGAGCUCUGUCCCGGAGGUUCGCGACGUUGCGAUUUUCAGCGCACUGAAAUCUGCGGCACGGAGACCCUUUCCGGAGGCUUGGAGAAUUGGAGUACCGAAGAUUUCGGAUGAAGAUGAUUGGAGCGUAGUAGGAGAGUGACCUAGGCUUUUACAUAAUACUCAUAACAUGUAUAUAUUCAUAAUUGGAUAACGUUGUCAACUGAUAGAAGAUGGACACCUUUCCUUCCGUUAUUCUGGAAUAGAAAUUAAAACAUCCUAUGAAGGCUUGAUGAAAUAAAAAGUUGACUAUGAUGCGAGAAAACAUAAGUCGACAAACAACCAUAUACUGAAGACAAUAAAACUAAUUCAGAAUACAGUAGUAAAGAAUUAUUACUGGAAGAUACCGCGCAAUCUCUGCAAACAGUGUGCAGUUUGAAACCAAUGAAACAUCGCUCGACCACACGAGGAAACUAUCGAGCCUAAAUUACGCGAUAAAAAUUUUUCGUACUCCUAACAGUUUUGUCUACUGCAAUAUAUUUACCAAAAGAUAUACAAAACUAUAUAUGAACAAGCCAAAAUUAGAGAAGAAAAAGAAGUAAUGACCAAACUAAAGACUGGCCACUCUAAACUUACAUACGACUACUUUUUAUAGAAAACCGUUCUUACAUCACGAAAACUCGUCAAAAGUAUCGUAAACCUUUUAAAAGACGGUAACUUUUAUAAAAGCAUUCAAUCACGCGAAUUAGGACAAAUAUAAAUCGAGUUUAAUGGUAUAAAAUUAUACUUUAUAAAAUCAAAUAAUGUCAAAAUAGUAGAAAAUGGAUAUUUACCAUUUCCCAAAGUCUCUUCUAAUAAAACAGAAAUUAAAAACUUCCGCAUUUUAAACACAAAAUUCAACUUUGAAUAUUUAUAAGAAAUUAAAUAAUUAAGAUAUUGGAAAAGUAAUAUGCUAAGAUAAUUCUAUGUUGAAUAUUUCUUAAAAAUUUGAUUAAGUCUACAAUAUCUCGUGUCAGCUAGGUAACAAAAAGGUAGUUUCAAAAACAAGGUAAGAGAAACUUCAAGGUAACACUUUUUCCUGCUAGAGCGAAACCUCAGACGAACGAAGGGCUGACUCUUUUCGAGUCACUCUAAGUAGUUGUCAAGUUGUUUUAGUGUACAGCUCUGUCCUGACUGAAGCGUUUCUCUGUCGUCAUUCGUCUGCUACUUUAUAGAAAUGAGUAUUUUUUAAAAAGCUACUUUAUAGAAUAUGAGUAUCGAUUCAAUUGUCAUGAUAAAAUAUUAGUUUUCGUAGCUGUAUUGAUCAAAUAACAAUAUUCCCGCGCAUGAAACUUUAAGAAACUGUAAAAAAAGUUUCAAGUUUUUGAAACGGAAAUCGAGAUUAUUGAAUGAUGUGUCUUAUUAUAUUGCAGGUUAGUGGUAUGUUAGACUGCGACCUACUGAAAGAAUAUGUAAUACUUUCUGCUCCUUUUUCGUUUUUCUUGAAUGUGCCAAAUGCAAUAUAUAUGUAUAUAAAACUUAUUUCUUUAAUUUGCUUAUAUAUUCUUUCAUCGUUACAUAUUUUUGUUUCUUAUAGGCAUUGUAAUUAUAUUUCUCUUUAAUUAAUCUAUACAAUUUAAUAAGAAGUCUUUGUGAAGUGAUAAUUUAUUGAUUCAAGAUCGAAUCACGUUUUCCUAUCCUGAAAAAUUAACUUUAAAUGAGGUUAAUGGAUUACACCACCUUUGAGUCGUAAAAUAGUUUCAACGUAAAUACUUAGAUAAUCUUUUGAUCGUGGUUGGUUUGUUGCCUUUGUAAUAUCUCAUUUGGCAAGUUCUUCGCACACAUGAAAUUGAACCUUAUUUUUCUGUUGCAAUUUUUGAAAUUUUGUGCCAAGUUCUUCGGCUAACUGGAAUAAAAAUUGUUGCCAUGCAAUUCUUUCUCUGGUUAUCUCUUUAUGUAUAAUAAAACCUGUACAUUUAUUCCAAUUGAGCCAACAGUGUAGUAAGGUUGUAAAGCUAUCUACGAAAUUUCGAAUUUUCGAUUUCACCCUGUAUUUUCUUGCCUGAGAAAAGACAUAAUGAUGAAUAUACGAUAGAAUAACUCAGGACAAAUGACUAAGUUUUCACUCAAUUUUUCAUUUAUGAAAAAAGAAAGCGAGAAAGUGUAUUCAAAUUUUUAUUUAUAUCACUUUAGGAUCAAUUUCAGAAUAGUUUUAAAAAGUUUAUAAAUAACGAAUGCCUAUUAGAGUAUCUAAAAAACUAUAAGGCAAUUAUCGUUAUGCACUGAGUUUUCUCAAAAUCAAAUCACGAUCUUCUAAUAACAACAUAAUUGUUGACAAGCAAUUUUACACAGAAGCGACUUCAUGUCACCGGCUAUUAUUUCGUAAUUGAAUGUGAAAUUAAAACAAUCUAAAUAAACUCAAAUAAACUUUAUUUAUAUUUUACCAACAUAAUGAAUUGAAAUGAAAUAUUUUACAUAUAAAACACGAUGAUCAAAGCUCUUGCAAUAUUUUAUAUCGCCCUGGUUUUCAUAAAUUGAAAUAGAUAAUGCAAGUGUAAACACGAGUUUACUCGUGACCGAUUAACAACGGGUUAAGUCUAUAGUUUCAGACAAAGAACUCAUUGAACAAAUUGUAAGAAUACUCGAGAAAGUAACGAUGUGAUGAUAUUGUAUGUAAGAUAUUGCGCGUAAAAGUUUGAAAACGAUCAUUUGAUCAGGCGCGGUAGGUUUAGCAGAGGAAUAUGGUUUGUUUGUUCAUGGAGUGUGUAGCGUGCAUAGCAUACAAACGCGUAGCGGCAGCUAAAUGCUUAUUACACCUAAAACUGUUGAACUCUGUUCUAUCCUUACCCCAGCUAGCCAAAACAGGAAACUAGCCCUUUCUUUGUUAUUCGAUUCAUCGAGCUAAGUACCGGAAUCCCUUGUGAACUCCAUAUUUUGUUUUGUAUCUUUUUAAGGAUUUUUCCUAGCGCUGCGGCAUUGGGGUACACAUCCCUGCUACAUUGCCAGUCUUUAACCCUUUGCACUCGAGAGGUGACUCUCAUUCACCACUAGGAUUCACGCAACAAAUCUACCACCAAUAAUGUUUCUUUAGGUUUAGUUUCUUUGGAACUCGAAGUGUCGAUAAAAUGACAAUCGGACUAUAUCGUCGAAGUCAAUCUAAUAUUAGAUGAAACGAAACUUUUUCAUAUGUAUAGUUUAUUUAUAGGAUACUUACUUUCGAAAAUAUAAAUGGAAAAGUUAGAAUUUCGUUUGAAAAAAUUGAAUUUCAGAAAAAAGGUAUUCCAAGUUUUGAAUUUUUAUCUCCGAAACUAAACGUCCUAUGAAUAAAUUGUAAAUAUAAAAAAGUUUUAUUGUGGCAUUCUCUAUAAGGUGAUAUUCUUCUUAAAUUCGAUUGUUCGACUAUUGUUUAUUUUUUCUUAAAGACAACAGCAAUAGGAUCAGACCAUUACGAGAUGUCAGGAAAAAGGUAUUCCAAGUUUUGAAUUUUUAUUUUUGAAACUAAACAUCCUACGAAUAAAUUGUAAAUAUAAAAAAGGUUCGUUUUGUCAUUCCCUGGAAGCUGAAAUUUUUUAAAAAUUUACGCCUCUACGUCUUUUAGAAUCUCCAGCAAAAAUUGUCUCGCAGUUAAAUGGUUAAUGAAAGCAAAAUUUAAGUAAGGCAUCGAUCGACUUGUUUGAAAACCCUGUCAAUGAAUUCACUAUACACUAUACACAAACAACAUUAUAACCAACUGAAUGUUUUAAAAUUUGUCUUGUCUUUAAUAGUUUUCGUUUAUGAAAUUUAUUAUUUUUUUAUCAUUUUUAAAAUUUUGAAACAUAACAAUGAAUUGUGCAUUUUUAACAAAGAAAAUAUAUUUCUUCAAAGCAAAGCAAAUCAAAGCAAAGUGGCUUUUUACUUAUG